Molecule: ribosomal RNA, 253 nt
Filed under: uncultured bacterium
Lineage: Bacteria
Description: partial 16S ribosomal RNA
Rfam family: Bacterial small subunit ribosomal RNA
Source: RNAcentral
UACGAAGGGGGCUAGCGUUGCUCGGAAUGACUGGGCGUAAAGGGCGCGUAGGCGGAUGGCACAGUCAGAUGUGAAAUUCCCGGGCUUAACCUGGGGGCUGCAUUUGAUACGUGUUGUCUAGAGUGAGGAAGAGGGUUGUGGAAUUCCCAGUGUAGAGGUGAAAUUCGUAGAUAUUGGGAAGAACACCAGUGGCGAAGGCGGCUCACUGGCCCGGUACUGACGCUGAGGCGCGAAAGCGUGGGGAGCAAACAGG